RNAcentral lists this ribosomal RNA (470 nucleotides) under uncultured bacterium. RNAcentral's name for it is "bacterial SSU rRNA". It matches the Rfam family "Bacterial small subunit ribosomal RNA", at positions 41 to 507 of the family's 1533-position model. The record is from RNAcentral.
GGCAGGCUUAACACAUGCAGUCGAGCGGCAGCAGAUCUAGCUUGCUAGAUGCUGACGAGCGGCGGACGGGUGAGUAACGCGUAGGAACCUGCCCAGUAGUGGGGGAUAGCCCGGGGAAACUCGGAUUAAUACCGCAUACGCUCUACGGAGGAAAGAGGGGCUUCGGGCUCUCGCUAUUGGAUGGGCCUGCGUGAGAUUAGCUAGUUGGUGAGGUAAUGGCUCACCAAGGCGACGAUCUCUAGCUGGUCUGAGAGGAUGAUCAGCCACACUGGGACUGAGACACGGCCCAGACUCCUACGGGAGGCAGCAGUGGGGAAUAUUGCACAAUGGGCGCAAGCCUGAUGCAGCCAUGCCGCGUGUGUGAAGAAGGCUUUCGGGUUGUAAAGCACUUUCAGUGGGGAGGAAGGCCUCGUAGUUAAUAGCUGCGAGGAUUGACGUUACCCACAGAAGAAGCACCGGCUAACUCCGUG